This 319-nucleotide long non-coding RNA is filed under the name Glycine max (soybean). Its description in RNAcentral is "long non-coding RNA (GMAX_LNC000870)". Lineage: Eukaryota; Viridiplantae; Streptophyta; Magnoliopsida; Fabales; Fabaceae. The record is from RNAcentral.
GGAGGAAUUUGAUCUGUUGAUUGGGUUUUCUUAGCACCAUAAAAGAUAGGAGGAACUUCAUCUGUUGAUUGGAUUUUCUUAGCACCAUAAAAGUAUGGAGGAACUUCAUCUGUUGAUUGGGUUUUCUUAGCACCAUAAAAGAUAGGAGGAACUCCAUCUAUUGAUUGAGUUUUCUUAGCACCAUAAAAGAUAGGAGGAACUUCAUCUGUUGAUUGGGUUUUCUUAUCACCAUAAAAGAUAGGAGGAACUUGAUCUGUUGAUUGGGUUUUCUUAGCAUCAUACAGGAAUAUUUGAUCUGUAGAUUGGGUUUCCUUAGCAC